UCAGAUCUCCCUGCCGCCGACUCUUCGUAACCGCCGCCCACGUACGAACUCCCUCUCCCCACAUCGACGCCCUCCCACUAGGCUUGCCGUUGUCAUGCCCUUCACCACCGCGUCCUCAUGCCUCGAGGCCAUCCCCAACAUCGUCGUGCGCGUCGAGCUCCUCUGCUCCGCCCAGAUCUCUUCAACCCUUUCCCUCUCUCCUCUGCUCCGUGUCCUCGUGCCUCAAGGCCAUCUCCAACCUUCCCGACCGUGGUGGCGUUAGGCGAGCAGCACGCAGCGGCAUCUGCCCCUGGCACAACUCAUCCAUCCUCAACCAGGUAAUUAGCCCUACACGCAUGUUCAUAACUGCACACACGUAUGCCUUUGAAUCCUACUGAUUUUCCAUCGACCACAAAUCCCUCGAGGACACGGCGCUCCUCUCCCGAACGAGGUCGAUCCGCUCCUCCUCCUCUCCCGAGGAUACGCAGCCGCCGCCGCCGAUCCGGGCAGACGCUGCCAUCGUGGAUCACGUGAACGCCGCCGCCGACUGCCGCCGCGGACCUCCCAGGGCGCACGAGAUCGCCGCCGCCGACCUCACGGGGGAGGGGCGAGCGAUCUCGCCGCCGCCGACCUCACAGGGAAGACGCCCUCUCAUCUCGCCGCCGCCAACCUCACAUGGAAGACGGAUCUCGUCGCCGCGGAUCUGACAUGACAGGGGAGGACCAACUGGUGAAAUAGCUGCAGAAUUACAGGUACGGUGAUGGAAAUCCUGUGGCACCAUUCCUAUCUUAAGAUGGGAAUUACUCAGUGGACAUCUGGAUGACCGAACGAAACCAAUUCUCUUCUCCAUGGCAAGACUUGACCGAGUUAAAAAUAUGACAAAUUGUGACCAAUUUUUCUGUCUCUGCUCUCUUGCAUUAUUUUCAUAUUCAUAUGUUUAUCUCCAGAUCAAAGCCAGAGUGAAGGCGAAGAUCUGGCGAAGGAGGUAGUAUCCGCCUCUUCGGAGACUUACUCCGCUCCGUCCUGCAACACGUGAAGAGCUAGCUCGGAAGGCUUCCAUUCUUGCAGAGGUUUUCUCCAAUCUUUAAUGGUAAAGAUUUUUGUGGUAGGAAUCUCAUUUUCAUUAUUGGUUAUUGUCUUGAACCUGAAACAUUUGAUUGCAUCUUUGUUGCUUGCUUCUUCAAACAUGAGCAUAUGAUGGAACAGUCUGAAGGUUAAUUCAAAUGUAGUGAAAGUUUGAAGGUCAAUGGGUUUUCCAUAUUAAACUUUCAAACAAACCAUUCAUCGACGUCGUGGGAUUCACCUCCGCCAAUGACCAUCACCACCACGACGCCGCCUACGCGAUGUCGCCUGAGGUGAAUGAGUAGCAGCCCACGACGCAUGCGCGGUGGGUGGCUCAUCCGAGCUGAUGCGCCCACUGCAGCGUUCCCAGCAGCAAGAAGUGUGCCGCGUGCAAGCUUAUGUAGUACUGGAAAGCCUCCACCUAUGAUUGGUUUUAUCAUAAAAACUGGUUAGAUAUCGCCGCUGGCGUGGUCACUUUUCCCCACUACCGAAAGCUCUGCGCCGCUAACAGAACGCCCCACCAGUCUCCACCUCCGUUGGCGCCGUCGAGAGCCUCGACUAUGAGGAGCAGGUCCUUCAGGUUCGGUGUGGCAACUUUUUCGUGAUAACAUUUUGAGAUUUCUCCACCAAUCGGCAAAAUUUGGUGCUUAUAAAUAGAAAAUCAAUACCAAACGGAGUCCAAAUGCCACGAAACUUCAUGGAGAUUUUUUAUGGACCAGAAGACCAAUAGUGGGCCAAAUAAGCACCUGGGGGUGCCCCGAGGGGGGCACAACUAAUCGGGAGCCAGUUCCGGCACCUUGCUGGAGGGGGAAAUCAUCACUGGUGGUCAUCUUCAUUAUUCCGGCGGCCACCACGAUAAGGAGGGAGUAGUCCACCCUCGGUGUUGAGGGUUUGUACCAGUAGCUAUGUGUUUAAUCUCUCUCUCGUGUUCUAUAUCAUGGGCUUUGUUAAUAUAGAUGGAUUAUAUGAUGUUUCUCCCCUCUACUUUUGUUGUGAUUAAUUGAAUCUUUACCCUUUGAAGUUUUGUCUUGUCGGAUUGAAUAUUCAAAUAUGAGAACACAUGAUGUAUGUCUUGCAGUAUGAUUACUUGAGGUAUGAUUACUUGAGGUGACAAUGGGGUAUCGUAUUGAUUCA
Long non-coding RNA from Triticum aestivum (bread wheat), 2175 nucleotides. RefSeq lists it as uncharacterized. Lineage: Eukaryota; Viridiplantae; Streptophyta; Magnoliopsida; Poales; Poaceae. The transcript has 7 exons. The record is from RefSeq and is a predicted model, not a curated record.